GACGAACGCUGGCGGCGUGCCUAAUACAUGCAAGUUGAGCGCUGAAGGUUGGUACUUGUACCAACUGGAUGAGCAGCGAACGGGUGAGUAACGCGUGGGGAAUCUGCCUUUGAGCGGGGGACAACAUUUGGAAACGAAUGCUAAUACCGCAUAAAAACUUUAAACACAAGUUUUAAGUUUGAAAGAUGCAAUUGCAUCACUCAAAGAUGAUCCCGCGUUGUAUUAGCUAGUUGGUGAGGUAAAGGCUCACCAAGGCGAUGAUACAUAGCCGACCUGAGAGGGUGAUAGGCCACAUUGGGACUGAGACACGGCCCAAACUCCUACGGGAGGCAGCAGUAGGGAAUCUUCGGCAACGGACGAAAGUCUGACCGAGCAACGCCGCGUGAGUGAAGAAGGUUUUCGGAUCGUAAAACUCUGUUGGUAGAGAAGAACGUUGGUGAGAGUGGAAAGCUCAUCAAGUGACGGUAACUACCCAGAAAGGGACGGCUAACUACGUG
RNAcentral lists this ribosomal RNA (497 nucleotides) under uncultured bacterium. Its description in RNAcentral is "partial 16S ribosomal RNA". It matches the Rfam family "Bacterial small subunit ribosomal RNA", at positions 28 to 507 of the family's 1533-position model. The record is from RNAcentral.